GGCGGUUUCCGCUGCCGCGCGAUCCAUCCUGUUUGUUUUUAUCAAAGAUCCGGCAGAAUUCGCCCCCGAGAACCCCAGACUCUGUGUACCAAAGCUUUUCGACUCCUUACAGAGACUUUUCUACUCCCUCUUCAGCCAGCCACCCCAGAUCAGCCCCAGGCAGGAAUGUGGCAAGAAAGGUCGGUCUGGCCAAUACCCGACUGUGGUUUCUUUAACCUCGCAAGUAACAAUGGUCACAACUGUCACCAUGUGUCUGGGCAUUGUUAUCCCAUUGGAUGUGUUUUUGUUUAAAGCACAACAGAAGCGUUCUAGAAGGCCCAGAACAAACCGACUGCCUUGAAUAAACCAGGUACAGAUCUGGACACUGAGGGGGACCAGCACCCAGAGAUAAUCCCAAGCCCCCUUCUCCCUUCUUGCUAGACAGGGAUCUCAAUAGAAUAUUUUAGGCUAUCAAGAUUGCUGAAAUUCUUUGCCCCUGAAGAGACAGAUCCGGCUGCCUGCCUUUCUAAACCAGAAAAGGAUAUUUCUUUCUGAUCUAAUGCAAAGGAACAGGAAACUGAAAACCACAACACUCAGAAGCACAACUUCCUGUGGGAUUUCUGGUGUCUGCGGUCAGAAGGAAAGGAACUGCGGACAAAAUCUUUAGAAAUCUUAGAAUUGCUAAGUAACAGGGCCUUGAUUCAAUGAGCCAUGUCUACUCAUUACAUAUGUAUACUUAUGUUUCCGAGGUAAAAAAUGAAACAAAAAAUCCACCUCUAGCAAGGCAUAGUGAUGUUGCUUUUCCUAAGUGCUCUGGGCUUAUUCUUGAAAAGGGAAGAGGAAAUGUUGGGCCCCAGGAGGUGGUCUUGACAUCAUAACAGAAGAGAGUAUACUAAAAACCGCCAUUAACAGUAGAGUACAGCCACUGAUCGUUCUGACCUAUCCACAUCACUAAGGACUCUGCAGGCGGCUUCAGGGCUUUACAUGCCCAAAGCAGAGCAAAAUGGGAAGAAACUUUCUCUGACUUGUCAAGUUUCUGGAGUCCUUAAACAAUCUGGACAUGGUGGUGCAUGCCUUUAACUCUAGCAGAGGACAGAGACUAGGGCAGGCAGAUUUCAGUGAGUCCCAGGCCAGCUGGUCUGAAUAGGGAGAUACAGGACAGCCAGAGCUACAGAGAGAGGAGAUACCCACCUCAAUGUAUAUAAAGCAGUGGGGGAGUCAGCUCUUUCCUUUUACCAAAUAAGUCCCAGGUCAUUAGGCAUGGCUCUUAACUGCUGAAUCAUCUUGCCAGCCCUUAUUUGUAUCUUAUUUUAAAAUAAACACUCUAAAUUGUAUAUUUAGAGGUUACUAAAAAUUUAUAAUAUAUAUAUAUAUUUCCCUAUAAUAAAGAUUCAAAAAUACUGUUAAUGAUCGAUGUGACUUGAUUUUUACCAUGAGCGAAUAUUAAUUGUAUGUAUUAGUAGAUUUCACUGUUACAGUUCCAUAAAAGCAUAGACAGUGCUUGAGUCACAUCUACCCUCGCAGCUCCUCUCCCUUGCUCUUUCUUCCCUUUGUCAUUUCUUCAUCUUCUUUUUUUAAUAGUUCAUAUGAAAACUAAAAUCAAGUCUUUCUGAAAUUCUCUUCAGGGUAAAGAGUAUGUCUAACCUGGACUAUUUGACACUACAUCUUAAAACCAAAAACACCCCUCCCUUAGAGAUACCCUCCCUCCGGCUACAACAAGUGGCACUUUUUCUCUUGUCCUGAAUAGUCCACAAACAGGGCUUCAAAGUACAGCAUGAAUGUAAAAAUGGUUCUCCUCUCCCCAGCCUCAGCAGCUCUUCUUCUGCUGGGAAAGGAUGCUGAGGAAUGGAAACUUCCCUCCCAGAGUAGCCCCUCUUCUUCUCACCCUCCCCCGCCGAGAGCUGUGCAGCCCGCCCUGUUCUCCUUCAGCUGUGUCCCCAUCACUCUAUCCUCUCUUGGACCACAGAAUUCUUUCUACCUUAAAAUUCAACCUUCCUCUGCUGUCUUCCAUUUAAAACAGAGAAACAAAAUACUCAUUGAUCAGAACCCACUGACUACCUUCAAAGGCUCACUGCAGUGCACAUGGACAGGAUCCCAGUGCAUAGGAACCACUGUACUUGGCUGGAGGUGGGAGUGGGCAGGGCUUACGGUCUUGAAUCUUAGUUCACAUUUUGGGAUCUGUAUUUUGGAAAUAAAUGUCUCGGAGACAGAGGAAGUAACACUCUGGACUCUGGGCCAAUGCUGUCCCAUCUUCCUCUCUCCAGUCGCUUCCUAGGAGAGGCUCUGAGCUAUCUGCUAACACACCUCAGGAAGUCUAUGUUGUUCCUUUACCAACGGCUUCCUACUCUGGCAAGGAUCCAAGCAAAGGACAGGAGCUACUGUGUAUGCUGACAAGAACAUUUGCCAGCACAAGAGCCCCAGGCAGGCAGUGCCACUUCCUGUCUGACGGGCAGCUGGCAUUUUAAAUUAUCUGAGAAGGGGAUCCCAGCAAGCCAGCAGGCCAAGCACACACAGAGAAUGACACUGAUUAGCAAGUAUGACAAAUCGUGAUGUCAACCACUGAAGGAAAAAACAACCACCGAGAGGUUUUGCUGUAAUUAAGGGCUUUCCUGGCACCUCCUCUUCUGUUGGGAACAGGAUCUGAUUUCCAUUUUGCAUCAAGAUCCAGAUACAGGUGGAGAUUAUUCCAGCUCUCCCCACAGAUACUGUUCAGUUGGUAGCAAGCCUCCCCAGAGCUGCCCACCAGCCGUUUCUCUGUGUUAAGGCAUGCCCAAAUCGUCUGCAUCUUCCCUCCUCCCUAAUUUCACAAGUAAUAUACAAUUUUAAAAUCCACUGUGCUCACAUUCCAGUUGCCCAUAAAUACUAUCAUUUAAACCUAAA
This is a long non-coding RNA of Rattus norvegicus (Norway rat), 2859 nucleotides long. RefSeq lists it as uncharacterized. Lineage: Eukaryota; Metazoa; Chordata; Mammalia; Rodentia; Muridae. The record is from RefSeq and is a predicted model, not a curated record.